CCUACGGGAGGCUGCAGUGAGGAAUAUUGGUCAAUGGGCGCGAGCCUGAACCAGCCAAGUCGCGUGAGGGAAGACGGUCCUAUGGAUUGUAAACCUCUUUUGUCGGGGAGCAAAAGACGCCACGCGUGGCGUUCCGAGAGUACCCGAAGAAAAAGCAUCGGCUAACUCCGUGCCAGCAGCCGCGGUAAUACGGAGGAUGCGAGCGUUAUCCGGAUUUAUUGGGUUUAAAGGGUGUGCAGGCGGAAGAUCAAGGCAGCGGUAAAAUUGAGAGGCUCAACCUCUUCGAGCCGUUGAAACUGGUGUUCUUGAGUGAGUGAGAAGUAUGCGGAAUGCGUGGUGUAGCGGUGAAAUGCAUAGAUAUCACGCAGAACUCCGAUUGCGAAGGCAGCAUACCGGCGCUCAACUGACGCUCAUGCACGAAAGUGUGGGUAUCGAACAGGAUUAGAUACCCCAGUAGUC
This 459-nucleotide ribosomal RNA is filed under the name uncultured bacterium. RNAcentral's name for it is "partial 16S ribosomal RNA". It matches the Rfam family "Bacterial small subunit ribosomal RNA", at positions 338 to 795 of the family's 1533-position model. The record is from RNAcentral.